Podarcis lilfordi (Lilford's wall lizard) is the source of this 3133-nucleotide non-coding RNA. Lineage: Eukaryota; Metazoa; Chordata; Lepidosauria; Squamata; Lacertidae. The record is from the annotation of a GenBank genome assembly.
CUCGUACCUACGGGACCACCUCUCCCGGUAUGCCCCACAGAGAGCCUCAAGGUCCAUAAAUAGCAACACCCUAGAGGUCCCGGGCCCUAAGGAAGUUAGAUUAUCUUCAACCAGAGCCAGGGCCUUUUCAACACUGGCCCCGGCCUGGUGGAACGCUCUGCCUCAUGAGACCAGGGCCCUGCAGGAUCUGAUUUCUUUCCGCAGGGCCUGUAAGACAGAGUUGUUCCGCCUGGCCUUUGGCUUGGAGCCAAUUUGAUUCCCCCCCCCCCUCUUUUCUCCUUUCCUUUCUCCUCCUGCGAUGAGGCUACAUUUUAAUAUUUUAAUGUUUCAAUAUUUUAAUGUUGUAUUUUAAUGUUGUUUUUAAGUUGUAUUCAUUCAACUUGUUUUUAUUAUUGCUUGUUAGCCGCCCUGAGCCCGGCCUUGGCUGGGGAGGGCGGGGUAUAAAUAAAAAGUAUUAUUCUUAUUGUUAUUAGGUGGGCCGCUGGCCUGAUCCAGCAGGCUCUGGAAACCCGCAAACUGGUAUUCAGAAGCAUAGCCACCUCCUACCACCUGCUGGGUAACUGAGCCUAAAAGGGUAAAAGUAAAGGGACCCCUGACCAUUAGGUCCAGUCGUGGCCAACUCUGGGGUUGUGGCGCUCAUCUCGCUUUACUGGCCGAGGAAGCCGGCGUACAGCUUCCGGGUCAUGUGGCCAGCAUGGCGAACCAGAGCAGCGCACGGAAACGCCGUUUACCUUCCCGCCGGAGGGGUGCCUAUUUUUCUACUUGCACUUUGACGUGCUUUCGAACUGCUAGGUUGGCAGGAGCAGGGACCGAGCAACGGGAGCUCACCCCGUCGCGGGGCUUUGAACCGCUGACCUUCUGAUCGGCAAGUCCUAGGCUCUGUGGUUUAACCCACAGCGCCACCCGCGUCCCCAACUUAGCCUACCCAGCCCUUAUUAUUUCCCAUAAUGCCCAGAAUGAUGCCCGGGGCAUCAGGGGCAACUGGAACCGAAGCUCGCCCCCGCUGCUUGGAGCGGCACACAAAGCAAAGCUCAUGGGGCUGGAGAGCAUCAGUAGUUGUGGCCGCAACAUCUGCCCACAGGUGCUAGGUGCCGGCGAUGGCUUUGGUACACUGCAAGGCAGCCUUUGCCAACCAGGUGCCCUCCAGGUGUUGCUGAUGGGAGCUCUAGUCCAAAACCUCUGGAAGGCAACAGUUUGGCCAAAAGUUUCCACGGGGGACUGCUCCCCCGAACGAUGUGUGCGUCAUUCUUAUCAGUUGCAGGCGACAAGGAUACUCAAAUCCUCCCAUAAUGGGAAAACUGCUUUCUUCGUUUUGUUAGAGCGUGAUGCUGAUAAGGUUGCAGGUUCAAUCCCAGCUACAUAUUAUCGCAUUGCAGGGGGUUUGGCUAGAUCAUUUUUUAUUUUUUUUCUUCUUCUUGGUUUUCACAUAUUAAUUUAAAAUACAGAUGUACCAAAACCAAACCAUUUGCUCCCCAUCCCCCCAUACAUUUACAUUUCUGUUUCCUCAAUCCAUCAUAUUAUUCUUUUCUCCUUCCUCCCACUUUCCUCCACCCCCACUCAAUUUCCUCCACACUAUACAAUUUACAAUAAUCUUUGCAUUCUGCAACCUUCUCAAAUCAUCUAUAUGUUCUUAUUAUCUUUCCUUACUAAUUUUUCUUCCAUCUAGUACUUCACAUUUUAAUCUAGGCAUAUUAGCAUAUCUUUUUUUGAGCAAUAUUUUGCCAUAUAUUAAAUGCAUCUUUGGGUUAUUUGUAGGGCCUGCCAGGUGUCUUUACAUGAGUAGAAUUUGUGCUUUUAUUUAAAAUGCAUCUCUGGGUUAUUUGUUGGGCAUAGGAAUUUGUUCAUUAUGUUUUUCCAAAAUAUAGUCCGGCCCCCCACAAGGUCUGAGGGAUGGUGGACCGGCCCCCUGCUGAAAAAGUUUGCUGACCCCUGGGCUAGAUGAUCCUCAGGGUCCUUUCCAACUCUACAGUUCUGUGAUUCCUGGCUAUUCUUCCCUCACAGGACAGUUGUAAGGAAAACGCAAGAUGCCAUUGUGUGGUCGCACCAUAGCUGUCAAGUGUCCCUUAUUUGGCGGGACAGUCCCUUAUCCCAGCGCCAUGUCCCACUGCUGUCGCUUAUUGAUGAGGCUACAUUUGGCUGCUGGCUGGGCUUUCUGCCUUUGGCUCAGAGGGGCUCAGAAGUUGAACAUACCUGUGCCCAGAAAAUCCCUUAUUUUGGCUGCUGAUCCCUUAUUUCCGAGGCUGCUGGUCCCUUAUUUUCAAAUCUGUAAGCUGACAGCUAUGGGUCGCACACUUCAACGGACAGGAGCGAGUCCCGGGAUUAUAAGUGGUGGUGCCGUGGUUAGGGGUGUUGGUCCAGGACUGGGAAGGACCAGGUUUAAAUUCUUGCUUACAGGGCACGCUUGGGCCUCCAGUCGCUCUUAGCCUAACCUGCCUCACAGGGUGGAAAGAGAGGGGGGGGCAUUGAGAAUCAAGCGUACCUUAAGCUCAAUGGAAUAAUAAUAAUAAUAUUUUAUUUAUAUCCCGCCCUCCCCAGCCAAAGCCGGGCUCAGACGGCUAACAACAAUAAAAGUAGCACAAUUUACAUAAAAUCACAAUCAAUUAAUUGAAAUGCAUUCUAAAAUCAACUCCUUCUAAAAUAGAAGAGUGGGGCUUCAAAUUGUAAUAAAGAGGAAAAGAAAUAGCAUCUGAAGGUGGGCUCCAUCACUGUCCUGUCUUACUCACCUUCAUUUGUUUCCCCCCAGGAUACAUAAUUAACUCCUCAUUUUGCCUGUUGGAGUCAUUUUUGCUGUGCAGCCAAGAUGGUGAGUAGCCGUCAGAGGUUGGCGAGUCUUGUUCUUUCUGUGAUCCCUCCCGGGCAUUUUCUAUAGUCUGUUGUUAUUUUGUUUAUUAUUGUUAACGGAAAAAUCCCAGGGCUCCCUUGGACAAAAACAAAGACACCAACCAGGAUUCCUUGGAGCAAAACAGCAGCCUGUAGGCUUGGUCUUUAUUGAUCUGUUGCAACAGGGUGCUCCCCUCACCUGCAGGAGAGAGGAAGGACCCAGAAAAAUGGCGUGCAAGACCUUAUAAAGACUUUUGAAAUUGCCACCCUGUAGAUCAAGACCACCCCCAGAAACAUCAUACAUACAUCACAG